This 325-nucleotide ribosomal RNA is filed under the name uncultured eukaryote. Its description in RNAcentral is "partial 18S ribosomal RNA". It matches the Rfam family "Eukaryotic small subunit ribosomal RNA", at positions 1470 to 1796 of the family's 1831-position model. The record is from RNAcentral.
CCCUUAGAUGUCCUGGGCAGCACGCGUGCUACAAUGAUGCAUUCAACGAGUCUUGCCUUAACCGAAAGGUUCGGGUAAACUUUUGAAAUUGCAUCUUGUCGGGGCUUGAUCAUUGUAAUUUUUGAUCACAAACAAGGAAUUCCUUGUAAAUGUGAGUCAUCAACUUGCAUUGAAUACGUCCCUGCCCUUUGUACACACCGCCCGUCGCUACUACUGAUUGGGUGUUCAAGUGAGAUGCUUAGACCCUUGUUGCAUGGUUCAUUAUUGUGCUCCGAAAGGAAAAAGUUUCAAGCUUGAGUGUCUAGAGGAAGUAAAAGUCGUAACA